UGUUGUGUCAAAUCAUUUUUAUUUAUCUGAUGUGUUUUAUGGUAUGUCCCACCAAAAUGUUACUCGCUAGUGUGUUAUUUUUUGUAGGCUGUGAACGUAUACCACUACAAGUCAAGCAUGUGAGGAAUGCAUUUCAUUCAACAAAGGCAGCAUACAUUAUUUUUGUGUGAUCAUUGGUGAUUAAAGAAACAUUGAGUGGAGGCAACAUCUCUAUUGACACAGAUCGUUUGCCCGGCCGCACACCGGGAGCAAACUCGGUGCUAUGCUUCGCAACACAUAUGACCGCCGUUCUUGGCAAUACUCCAAAUGUAUACAAACGUUAACAAUCGGAUAGCCCCAUUCAAUGGUGUAGCGUGGUGGCACCAGGUUGGGGUGCAAGCCUCCCCACCCGCGGGAUGACAACUUAAGAAGUGACAAAUACACAUGUAAAGCCGAUCCUGCGGUAGAUUAACCUACCAGCUGACGCCUGACUGUGAUAACAGGAUAGAAACACACAAUAUAAACACUACAUUUUCAAAUAUAGGCUAAAUACACAUUGGCUAAAUGAGCUCACAAGUUCUCAUGUAUUAUGAAAUACUCAAAGAUAACAGGAAGUUGAACAUCAUCUGAACCAAAGCAUAAGUAUGUUUGUAACAGACAUAAAAUGUAGGGGAGAGCGGGGUAUGUUGUCACACUUUUCACACUGUGUUACAUUUACAGGGUACAAUACAUCACAAUGCUAUAAAUGUCAUACCAAAUGAAAGAAGGAAGUCUUGGGCACAUUUUGUAUUCAUUACCUCAUAUCUUAUUUCAGUAUGCAGUUGUAGACUUAAAUACAGAGUGUGGACUUGGGACAAUUUGCCCCUUCAGCAGGUAAGUUGUCACAUUGGAUUAUCAACAAAUAAGAACAACUAAUUGUCAAUAUUGAUUUAAAAUUCAAACCAAAUUUAACUUCAUUAAAGAACACAAAAUGAAAACAAUCAUGCCUAGAGAAUCUGGCAAAUCAUGCCUGACAAUCAAAACACUAAUGCUGUCAUAGCAACUUCACCUGCCUCAUGGCCUUUAACAUUGUCUGGUGGUGUGCUGUCAUUCUCCGUCUUUCUUUUAUAAUUUUGUACAAUCUUUCCUUCCCCACUUUUUUUCCUUUCUUUCUUCCUUCCUUCCAAAACACAUUUCCUCAUUGCAAUUGCAUAUUCAUUACAGGCUUAUUACACCCUCCACCAUGUCUACUAUCCUUGUUUCCACAAUGCAAUUCAUAACACCUCACUAAAUUAAUGACACUUUAUGAAAUAGUGUGUGUGGAUAUACUGUCUCAUAGAGUAGACAAGUAGUGUUUAGUAGACACACACACACACAAACACACCACAGCCUGUCUUGUGUAGGCUAGUCCAGGGAUAUAUCAGCUACUUUAAACUAUAUGUAUAUAUAAUAAUUCAUUUACAGUAACAUCUAAUAAUAUUAUCAGAGCUGAUUAAUAGGUAUUACAAUGUUUUUUGAGCAUGUUCUGUGUCUAUGUAUACCGGGGCAAGUUGUCACAUGUUCAAACUUGCCCCAAGGUCAUUGAGACAACUUGCCCCAAACUGACGUGUGUUAAUGUUGGCUAAAUCUCAUGUUUAACUCAAUGUAAGACUGCAGAUAAAGUAUCUAAAGAUGUGUCUCCUCUACUCAGUGCAAAAUUAUACUUUUCUACAUUCAUACCUAACAAGGUUUCCUUGCAUAAAAUUUAAAAUGGCAAAUUUUUACUUUUAAAGGGGAAAAAUAAGAAACUUGUGCUCAGAUUAGUGAUCUUGAUCAUUUGUGAACAGGAAGUUGACCAUAGAACUCGUAGUCACACGAAGUAGCUAUUUAAUUUUUGAGAGAGCACCUCAAGUGUUGG
Long non-coding RNA from Esox lucius (northern pike), 1855 nucleotides. NCBI's taxonomy places the organism in Eukaryota, Metazoa, Chordata, Actinopteri, Esociformes, Esocidae. The record is from Ensembl.